This 1721-nucleotide ribosomal RNA is filed under the name Enterobacter hormaechei. RNAcentral describes it as "partial 23S ribosomal RNA". It matches the Rfam family "Bacterial large subunit ribosomal RNA", at positions 1 to 1755 of the family's 2925-position model. Lineage: Bacteria; Pseudomonadati; Pseudomonadota; Gammaproteobacteria; Enterobacterales; Enterobacteriaceae. The record is from RNAcentral.
GGGUUGUGAGGUUAAGCGACUAAGCGUACACGGUGGAUGCCCUGGCAGUCAGAGGCGAUGAAGGACGUGCUAAUCUGCGAAAAGCGCCGGCGAGGUGAUAUGAACCUUUGACCCGGCGAUGUCCGAAUGGGGAAACCCAGUGCAAUCCGUUGCACUAUCGUUAACUGAAUACAUAGGUUAACGAGGCGAACCGGGGGAACUGAAACAUCUAAGUACCCCGAGGAAAAGAAAUCAACCGAGAUUCCCCCAGUAGCGGCGAGCGAACGGGGAGCAGCCCGGAGUCUGAAUCAGCUUGUGUGUUAGUGGAACGGUCUGGAAAGUCCGACGGUACAGGGUGAUAGUCCCGUACACGAAAGCACACUUGCUGUGAACUCGAAGAGUAGGGCGGGACACGUGGUAUCCUGUCUGAAUAUGGGGGGACCAUCCUCCAAGGCUAAAUACUCCUGACUGACCGAUAGUGAACCAGUACCGUGAGGGAAAGGCGAAAAGAACCCCGGCGAGGGGAGUGAAAAAGAACCUGAAACCGUGUACGUACAAGCAGUGGGAGCCUCUUUAUGGGGUGACUGCGUACCUUUUGUAUAAUGGGUCAGCGACUUAUAUUCUGUAGCAAGGUUAACCGUAUAGGGGAGCCGAAGGGAAACCGAGUCUUAACUGGGCGUUAAGUUGCAGGGUAUAGACCCGAAACCCGGUGAUCUAGCCAUGGGCAGGUUGAAGGUUGGGUAACACUAACUGGAGGACCGAACCGACUAAUGUUGAAAAAUUAGCGGAUGACCUGUGGCUGGGGGUGAAAGGCCAAUCAAACCGGGAGAUAGCUGGUUCUCCCCGAAAGCUAUUUAGGUAGCGCCUCGUGAACUCAUCUUCGGGGGUAGAGCACUGUUUCGGCUAGGGGGCCAUCCCGGCUUACCAACCCGAUGCAAACUACGAAUACCGAAGAAUGUUAUCACGGGAGACACACGGCGGGUGCUAACGUCCGUCGUGAAGAGGGAAACAACCCAGACCGCCAGCUAAGGUCCCAAAGUCAUGGUUAAGUGGGAAACGAUGUGGGAAGGCACAGACAGCCAGGAUGUUGGCUUAGAAGCAGCCAUCAUUUAAAGAAAGCGUAAUAGCUCACUGGUCGAGUCGGCCUGCGCGGAAGAUGUAACGGGGCUAAACCAUGCACCGAAGCUGCGGCAGCGACACUAUGUGUUGUUGGGUAGGGGAGCGUUCUGUAAGCCGUUGAAGGUGUCCUGUGAGGGGUGCUGGAGGUAUCAGAAGUGCGAAUGCUGACAUAAGUAACGAUAAAGCGGGUGAAAAGCCCGCUCGCCGGAAGACCAAGGGUUCCUGUCCAACGUUAAUCGGGGCAGGGUGAGUCGACCCCUAAGGCGAGGCCGAAAGGCGUAGUCGAUGGGAAACAGGUUAAUAUUCCUGUACUUGGUGUUACUGCGAAGGGGGGACGGAGAAGGCUAUGUCAGCCGGGCGACGGUUGUCCCGGUUUAAGCAUGUAGGCGGAGGUUCCAGGUAAAUCCGGUACCUUGUUAACGCUGAGGUGUGAUGACGAGGCACUACGGUGCUGAAGUGAUAAAUGCCCUGCUUCCAGGAAAAGCCUCUAAGCAUCAGGUAACACGAAAUCGUACCCCAAACCGACACAGGUGGUCAGGUAGAGAAUACCAAGGCGCUUGAGAGAACUCGGGUGAAGGAACUAGGCAAAAUGGUGCCGUAACUUCGGGAGAAGGCACGCUGAU